Long non-coding RNA from Dunckerocampus dactyliophorus (ringed pipefish), 625 nucleotides. RefSeq lists it as uncharacterized. The transcript is spliced from 3 exons. Lineage: Eukaryota; Metazoa; Chordata; Actinopteri; Syngnathiformes; Syngnathidae. The record is from RefSeq and is a predicted model, not a curated record.
AGAGGUCUGCGAUUGGCUGGCGACCAGUCCAGGGUGUACCCCGCCUGUCGCCCAAAGUCAGCUGGGAUAGGCUCCAGCAUACCCCCACGACCCCAGUGAGGAUAAGCGGCAUAGAAAAUGGAUGGAUGGAUGCAGUAAGACACAGGCUGGCAGCUUACAAGCCACCGGCGGCCAUAAUGGAUGAGACGGCGGCAGAAGAUUAAAGUUGUCCGCCUCACCUCGGAGGGCAAAGUCAUCUGGCCGCUUCCUCCCACUCAGCAAAAUGAGGCCUGAACAUCUCCAUUGUGUUUAUGACGUCAAGUGGGUUUGCUUCUGCUGGGAAACAGCAGAUAUCUCACUUGGAGCUUACAAGGAACCAUUGGAAUCUUACUGUUAGUUUCAAUUGGGUCUUGGUGGCUGUUGUGUGUAAUGUGUAACAUCUCCACUGAUAGAACAGAGUUCUUAAUUUGAUCUUGUACAGCGUCCAGCAUAAAUUUGAACGCCAUAAAAAGUUUUAGGAUAUCAUGCACCAUCAGACACCAUCAAAUAUUCUGCUUUUACAAUCAUUAUAAUGUUCACUGGAGCGGUGCAACUGCACUGCAUCAUACUGAGAGCUGUUUCUAAUAUUUUGACCCCCCCCCCGUGU